UACGGAGGGUGCAAGCGUUAUCCGGAUUCACUGGGUUUAAAGGGUGCGUAGGCGGGUAGGUAAGUCCGUGGUGAAAUCUCUGAGCUUAACUCAGAAACUGCCGUGGAUACUAUUUGCCUUGAAUAUUGUGGAGGUGAGCGGAAUAUGUCAUGUAGCGUGAAAUGCUUAGAUAUGACAUAGAACACCAAUUGCGAAGGCAGCUCACUACACAAUGAUUGACGCUGAGGCACGAAAGCGUGGGGAUCAAACAGG
RNAcentral lists this ribosomal RNA (252 nucleotides) under uncultured bacterium. Its description in RNAcentral is "partial 16S ribosomal RNA". It matches the Rfam family "Bacterial small subunit ribosomal RNA", at positions 524 to 776 of the family's 1533-position model. The record is from RNAcentral.